Salmo salar (Atlantic salmon) is the source of this 54-nucleotide non-coding RNA. The record is from Rfam. NCBI's taxonomy places the organism in Eukaryota, Metazoa, Chordata, Actinopteri, Salmoniformes, Salmonidae.
AAUGCACCAAUUUGUAAGUCGCUCUGGAUAAGAGCGUCUGCUAAAUGAAUGUGU